RNAcentral lists this ribosomal RNA (207 nucleotides) under uncultured bacterium. RNAcentral describes it as "partial 16S ribosomal RNA". It matches the Rfam family "Bacterial small subunit ribosomal RNA", at positions 568 to 774 of the family's 1533-position model. The record is from RNAcentral.
CGUGUAGGCGGUUGGUUAAGUUCGGCGUGAAAGCGCCCGGCUAAACCGGGCGAGGUCGUCGGAGACUGACUAACUAGAGGACGGUAGAGGCGGGUGGAAUUCCGGGUGUAGUGGUGAAAUGCGUAGAGAUCCGGAGGAACACCAGUGGCGAAGGCGACCCGCUGGGCCGUACCUGACGCUAAAACGCGACAGCAUGGGGAGCGAACG